Molecule: ribosomal RNA, 508 nt
Filed under: uncultured bacterium
Lineage: Bacteria
Description: partial 16S ribosomal RNA
Rfam family: Bacterial small subunit ribosomal RNA
Source: RNAcentral
GACGAACGCUGGCGGCGUGCCUAAUACAUGCAAGUCGAGCGCAGGAAGUCAUCCGAACCCUUCGGGGGGACGUUGACGGAAUGAGCGGCGGACGGGUGAGUGACACGUAAAGAACCUGCCCUCAGGUCUGGGAUAACCACGAGAAAUCGGGGCUAAUACCGGAUGGGUCAUCGGACCGCAUGGUCCGAGGAUGAAAGGCGCUCCGGCGUCGCCUGGGGAUGGCUUUGCGGUGCAUUAGCUAGUUGGUGGGGUAAUGGCCCACCAAGGCGACGAUGCAUAGCCGACCUGAGAGGGUGAUCGGCCACACUGGGACUGAGACACGGCCCAGACUCCUACGGGAGGCAGCAGUAGGGAAUCUUCCACAAUGGACGAAAGUCUGAUGGAGCAACGCCGCGUGAACGAUGAAGGCCCUCGGGUCGUAAAGUUCUGUUGUAAGGGAAGAACAAGUGCCGCAGGCAAUGGCGGCACCUUGACGGUACCUUGCGAGAAAGCCACGGCUAACUACGUG